GACGAACCGUGCGAACGUUGUUCGGAAUCACUGGGCUUAAAGGGCGCGUAGGCGGGUCUUCAAGUCUGGGGUGAAAUCUUUCGGCUUAACCGGAAAAGUGCCUCGGAUACUGGAGACCUCGAGGGAGGCAGGGGCGGAUGGAACUUCCGGUGGAGCGGUGAAAUGCGUUGAUAUCGGAAGGAACGCCGGUGGCGAAAGCGCCUUGCUGGGUCUGCACUGACACUGAGGGACGAAAGCUAGGGGAGCGAAAGGG
This 253-nucleotide ribosomal RNA is filed under the name uncultured bacterium. Its description in RNAcentral is "partial 16S ribosomal RNA". It matches the Rfam family "Bacterial small subunit ribosomal RNA", at positions 524 to 776 of the family's 1533-position model. The record is from RNAcentral.